This 497-nucleotide ribosomal RNA is filed under the name uncultured bacterium. RNAcentral describes it as "partial 16S ribosomal RNA". It matches the Rfam family "Bacterial small subunit ribosomal RNA", at positions 899 to 1397 of the family's 1533-position model. The record is from RNAcentral.
ACUCAAAUGAAUAGACGGGGACCCGCACAAGCAGUGGAGUAUGUGGUUUAAUUCGAAGCAACGCGAAGAACCUUACCAGGUCUUGACAUCCCGAUGAAAGCACCAGAGAUGGUGCCCCUCUUCGGAGCAUUGGAGACAGGUGGUGCAUGGUUGUCGUCAGCUCGUGUCGUGAGAUGUUGGGUUAAGUCCCGCAACGAGCGCAACCCUUGAUCUUAGUUGCCAGCAUUAAGUUGGGCACUCUAGGAUGACUGCCGGUGACAAACCGGAGGAAGGCGGGGAUGACGUCAAAUCAUCAUGCCCCUUAUGACCUGGGCUACACACGUACUACAAUGGCCGGUACAACGGGAAGCGAAGCGGCGACGUGGAGCGAAUCUUUAUAAACCGGUCUCAGUUCGGAUUGCAGGCUGCAACUCGCCUGCAUGAAGUCGGAAUUGCUAGUAAUCGCGGAUCAGCAUGCCGCGGUGAAUACGUUCCCGGGUCUUGCACACACCGCCCGU